Medicago truncatula (barrel medic) is the source of this 560-nucleotide long non-coding RNA. RefSeq lists it as uncharacterized. The record is from RefSeq and is a predicted model, not a curated record. The transcript is spliced from 5 exons. Lineage: Eukaryota; Viridiplantae; Streptophyta; Magnoliopsida; Fabales; Fabaceae.
UCGACUAUCCAAAGAUUAGGUACCGUUUGGAACUUCAAGUCAACGACUCUACGGAAUCAACAAUAUUUGUGUUGUUUGCCGAAGUUGCUGAACAAUUGGCACAACUAAAGCUAGAUGACCUCACCCCGGAUUUAGAAAAUCAGACUGGACGUGACUCUGAUCUGCCUAAACAGCUCCAGCAUAUCAUUGGUUCAAAGCAUAUUUUUCAAGUUAAGCUGAGCUCUUACUUUGAACGUCGUGGAGUACAAAGCUUCACUGCACAUAAGAUUCUGAAGCCAGUUGUUAAGAUUGAGAAAGAAGACAACAUUGCCACUGCGUGUUCUUCCUCAAGUGGAUCUCUUACCAUUGAAAUACCAGAUUUGCCGAAGAAGAGGAGAAAAUUAAUAUUGCACUCCAACAAAUCAGGUGAUAAGGACCAGAAUGAAGAUGUGGAAGAUUUAGAAGAUUGAGAAGUUGGCUGCUAAGGAUUUAAGAGGAUUUGCUUUUGAAGUUGUUUUUCAUGGUUUAGUUUAUGUUUCUCUAAUCAAUAGAGAUGUGGAUUUCAGUUUAUGUUUUUUUGA